UCUCCGUUGGUGAACCAGCGGAGGGAUCAUUACAGGACUCGCAAGACUCCUUCACCCUGUGAACCUCACUACAAGCAUGUUGCUUCGGCGGGUGUCCCGGCGGGGGUUUUCCCUCGCCGGGGCGCACAGCCCGCCGGCAGCCUACUAUACACUGUCUCUUUGCGUUGGCAUCUCGAGAAAAAACAAACAAGUUAAAACUUUCAACAACGGAUCUCUUGGUUCUG
Molecule: unclassified non-coding RNA, 224 nt
Filed under: plant metagenome
Description: partial contains small subunit ribosomal RNA, internal transcribed spacer 1, and 5.8S ribosomal RNA
Source: RNAcentral